UGUAUAAUGGGUCAGCGACUUAUAUUCUGUAGCAAGGUUAACCGAAUAGGGGAGCCGAAGGGAAACCGAGUCUUAACUGGGCGUUAAGUUGCAGGGUAUAGACCCGAAACCCGGUGAUCUAGCCAUGGGCAGGUUGAAGGUUGGGUAACACUAACUGGAGGACCGAACCGACUAAUGUUGAAAAAUUAGCGGAUGACUUGUGGCUGGGGGUGAAAGGCCAAUCAAACCGGGAGAUAGCUGGUUCUCCCCGAAAGCUAUUUAGGUAGCGCCUCGUGAAUUCAUCUCCGGGGGUAGAGCACUGUUUCGGCAAGGGGGUCAUCCCGACUUACCAACCCGAUGCAAACUGCGAAUACCGGAGAAUGUUAUCACGGGAGACACACGGCGGGUGCUAACGUCCGUCGUGAAGAGGGAAACAACCCAGACCGCCAGCUAAGGUCCCAAAGUCAUGGUUAAGUGGGAAACGAUGUGGGAAGGCCCAGACAGCCAGGAUGUUGGCUUAGAAGCAGCCAUCAUUUAAAGAAAGCGUAAUAGCUCACUGGUCGAGUCGGCCUGCGCGGAAGAUGUAACGGGGCUAAACCAUGCACCGAAGCUGCGGCAGCGACGCUUAUGCGUUGUUGGGUAGGGGAGCGUUCUGUAAGCCUGCGAAGGUGUACUGUGAGGUAUGCUGGAGGUAUCAGAAGUGCGAAUGCUGACAUAAGUAACGAUAAAGCGGGUGAAAAGCCCGCUCGCCGGAAGACCAAGGGUUCCUGUCCAACGUUAAUCGGGGCAGGGUGAGUCGACCCCUAAGGCGAGGCCGAAAGGCGUAGUCGAUGGGAAACAGGUUAAUAUUCCUGUACUUGGUGUUACUGCGAAGGGGGGACGGAGAAGGCUAUGUUGGCCGGGCGACGGUUGUCCCGGUUUAAGCGUGUAGGCUGGUUUUCCAGGCAAAUCCGGAAAAUCAAGGCUGAGGCGUGAUGACGAGGCACUACGGUGCUGAAGCAACAAAUGCCCUGCUUCCAGGAAAAGCCUCUAAGCAUCAGGUAACAUCAAAUCGUACCCCAAACCGACACAGGUGGUCAGGUAGAGAAUACCAAGGCGCUUGAGAGAACUCGGGUGAAGGAACUAGGCAAAAUGGUGCCGUAACUUCGGGAGAAGGCACGCUGAUACGUAGGUGAAGUCCCUUGCGGAUGGAGCUGAAAUCAGUCGAAGAUACCAGCUGGCUGCAACUGUUUAUUAAAAACACAGCACUGUGCAAACACGAAAGUGGACGUAUACGGUGUGACGCCUGCCCGGUGCCGGAAGGUUAAUUGAUGGGGUUAGCGGUAACGCGAAGCUCUUGAUCGAAGCCCCGGUAAACGGCGGCCGUAACUAUAACGGUCCUAAGGUAGCGAAAUUCCUUGUCGGGUAAGUUCCGACCUGCACGAAUGGCGUAAUGAUGGCCAGGCUGUCUCCACCCGAGACUCAGUGAAAUUGAACUCGCUGUGAAGAUGCAGUGUACCCGCGGCAAGACGGAAAGACCCCGUGAACCUUUACUAUAGCUUGACACUGAACAUUGAGCCUUGAUGUGUAGGAUAGGUGGGAGGCUUUGAAGUGUGGACGCCAGUCUGCAUGGAGCCGACCUUGAAAUACCACCCUUUAAUGUUU
This 1623-nucleotide ribosomal RNA is filed under the name Escherichia coli. Its description in RNAcentral is "partial 23S ribosomal RNA". It matches the Rfam family "Bacterial large subunit ribosomal RNA", at positions 609 to 2215 of the family's 2925-position model. The record is from RNAcentral. Lineage: Bacteria; Pseudomonadati; Pseudomonadota; Gammaproteobacteria; Enterobacterales; Enterobacteriaceae.